UUGGCAUUUGUUAUUGAAGCUUCCAUAUCUCCAUUAGCUACGCAACCAAAUGAUAGUGAGACCGGCCCUAUUCCACAGCCUGAACAAUAUGGGCUCUUACCUGGACAGGUGAUGACUGUUGUUAAGGAUGCCUGCAGGGCUGCUGUUCUCCAGAGUAAACCUCGACUUGUUGAAGCCAUGUACUUCUGUGAGCUGAACACCCCACACGACCAGUUGGGCAACACUUACACAGUUCUUAAUCGUAGGCGUGCUCAUGUGGUAAACGAAGAAAUGCAGGAAGGUUCUUCCUUGUUCACUGUACACGCUUAUGUUCCAGUUGCAGAAAGCUUUGGAUUCUCCGAUGAGUUGAGGAGAAAGACUUCUGGAGCUGCAAGUGCACUACUCGUCCUCAGCCAUUGGGAAGCCCUUCCAGAGGAUCCUUUCUUUGUUCCUAGAACCGAGGAGGAGAAAGAAGAAUUCGGAGAUGGUGCUAGUGUGCCACAGAGUAUAGCAAGAAAACUCAUGGAUUCUGUGAGACGAAAGAAAGGUCUUCCAGUAGAGGAAAAAGUAGUACAAUUCGCGACUAAGCAGAGGACGUUGGCUCGCAAGGUGUAGAAGUUCAAUGCAUGUUUGGUUUGUGUAAACAGUUUAUCUCAGUAUACAUUAGCUUUUUACUGUUAUUCAUUAGAAGCAAAGUUUUGUUAGCAUAUAAUACUGUAAUGACACUGGAGUUCUUUGCAA
This 720-nucleotide unclassified non-coding RNA is filed under the name Hevea brasiliensis (rubber tree). The record is from RNAcentral. Lineage: Eukaryota; Viridiplantae; Streptophyta; Magnoliopsida; Malpighiales; Euphorbiaceae.